Molecule: long non-coding RNA, 1186 nt
Organism: Hippocampus comes (tiger tail seahorse)
Lineage: Eukaryota; Metazoa; Chordata; Actinopteri; Syngnathiformes; Syngnathidae
Exons: 2
Source: RefSeq, a predicted model, not a curated record
AAAUGCUGAAUCAGGCUUGUUCUUCUGCGUUGUGUUUGAGAUAAUCAGAAAAAAUGACUUUGAUCACAAUGUAUUAUUAUUAUUAUUAUUAUUUUUAUUAUAUUUAUUUAUUUAUUUAUUUAUUUUUACAAAUUUGGGUGUCAUCUAUCUGUAGCUGUCGCUGACAUGUCCUGAAGCCACCUCGCUUUGCAUGUAAUCACUUUAAAAGUGAGUUUUCAGUUUACAUGGAGGCCCUAAACGCCUCAUGGAUGGUAGUCAAAUAAGCAGGAGCCUUUUGCAAUUUUAAGUUAACUCAAAUUUUAACUACAUUGUGAGGAUACAGAAAGUGGGAGGGGCCAAACAGGGUGGUGUGACAUCUCGCACGCUUUGGGGCUAAUCUCACUGUUAGCCAUGAGACGCUAAUCACCGCAGAGGGCCCGUGUGAAGCGUAUUUUGACUUCAUGUUGAGCUUCACAAUGCCAAUUAGCGUAGCGUUAGAAUGUAUUAUUUAUUUUAUAACAUUUUACAUCAAAUAAUUCACUAGACUCAGUUAAAUUCUCAGAGGAUUCAAGAAAGCAUGGUUUUGUAGUUGUUUUUUUUUUUGCCAAUGUUAAGAAUAGAAUCUAAAGAAUAAAGUGGUCAUUUUUAAGAAAAAAAAGAGGUUACAGUAAUGUAAUUUUAUUUAUUUAAUUUUUUGGGCUGCAUUGACUACACACCACAGCUGUGCAAUCGAGAAGGACGUGACCUCUGAAUGCAUGGGCACGUGGCGAUUACAGGAAAUGACGCGUCCGCUAUUGAUGAUGUCACACUGUGGUUUUUAAAGCCUGACAUCUGUUCACAACGCUAUCAAGUGGCGAUAAAGCGAGCUGAAGAGUGACGGAAAGAGAGAGAGAGAGAGAGAGAGAGAGAGAGAGAGAGAGAGAGAGAGAGAGAGAGAGAGAGAGAUAGAUCUAGGUUAGAAGCGUCCAUCCCGUCUCAGCUCUAAUAGGCUUUGACAUCCUCAAGCUGGAUGCUAAUCGCUGGCAACAGCCUUUCGAUGGCCUGAUGGGGCGGACCUUUCAGGACCUAGGCCCAUGGUGCUUCCGGGACCUUGACCAGGAGGCCAAAAAGAGGUCCAAAAUUUGACAUUCUUUUUAAGCCUCUCAUUGAGUCCGUAAAGAACAAUUUGAUGGCUACCAAGUAGUCCCUGAAUGCAACCGAGUGCUGC